Molecule: non-coding RNA, 136 nt
Organism: Hordeum vulgare subsp. vulgare (domesticated barley)
Lineage: Eukaryota; Viridiplantae; Streptophyta; Magnoliopsida; Poales; Poaceae
Source: Rfam
AAACUACUCCCUCGGUCCAAAAAUUCUUGUCUUAGGUCUGUCUAAAAAUGGAUGUAUUUAAAUACUAAAACGUGACUAGGUACAUUCACAUCUAAACAAAUGUACGACAAGAAUUUUGAAACGGAGGGAGUAUAAU